Molecule: ribosomal RNA, 253 nt
Filed under: uncultured bacterium
Lineage: Bacteria
Description: partial 16S ribosomal RNA
Rfam family: Bacterial small subunit ribosomal RNA
Source: RNAcentral
UACGGAGGGUGCGAGCGUUAUCCGGAAUCACUGGGUUUAAAGGGUGCGUAGGCGGGGAUUUAAGUCAGAGGUGAAAUGCUAUUGCUUAACGAUAGAAUUGCCUUUGAUACUGAGUUUCUUGAAUGGAUAUGAGGUUGGCGGAAUGUGACAAGUAGCGGUGAAAUGCAUAGAUAUGUCAUGGAACACCAAUUGCGAAGGCAGCUGACUGGUAUUAUAUUGACGCUGAGGCACGAAAGCGUGGGUAGCGAACAGG